RNAcentral lists this ribosomal RNA (811 nucleotides) under uncultured bacterium. RNAcentral's name for it is "bacterial SSU rRNA". It matches the Rfam family "Bacterial small subunit ribosomal RNA", at positions 66 to 878 of the family's 1533-position model. The record is from RNAcentral.
ACGGCAGCGCGGGGCACCUGGCGGCGAGUGGCGAACGGGUGAGUAAUAUAUCGGAACGUACCCAAGAGUGGGGGAUAACGUAGCGAAAGUUACGCUAAUACCGCAUACGAUCUAUGGAUGAAAGUGGGGGAUUCGCAAGAACCUCAUGCUCCUGGAGCGGCCGAUAUCUGAUUAGCUAGUUGGUGAGGUAAAGGCUCACCAAGGCGACGAUCAGUAGCUGGUCUGAGAGGACGACCAGCCACACUGGAACUGAGACACGGUCCAGACUCCUACGGGAGGCAGCAGUGGGGAAUUUUGGACAAUGGGCGCAAGCCUGAUCCAGCAAUGCCGCGUGAGUGAAGAAGGCCUUCGGGUUGUAAAGCUCUUUUGUCAGGGAAGAAACGGUUGAGGCUAAUAUCCUCGGCUAAUGACGGUACCUGAAGAAUAAGCACCGGCUAACUACGUGCCAGCAGCCGCGGUAAUACGUAGGGUGCAAGCGUUAAUCGGAAUUACUGGGCGUAAAGCGUGCGCAGGCGGUUUUGUAAGUCUGUCGUGAAAGCCCCGGGCUCAACCUGGGAAUUGCGAUGGAGACUGCAAGGCUUGAAUCUGGCAGAGGGGGGUAGAAUUCCACGUGUAGCAGUGAAAUGCGUAGAGAUGUGGAGGAACACCGAUGGCGAAGCAGCCCCCUGGGUCAAGAUUGACGCUCAUGCACGAAAGCGUGGGGAGCAAACAGGAUUAGAUACCCUGGUAGUCCACGCCCUAACGAUGUCUACUAGUUGUCGGGUUUAAUUUACUUGGUAACGCAGCUAACGCGUGAGUAGACCGCCCUGGG